Molecule: long non-coding RNA, 722 nt
Organism: Ornithorhynchus anatinus (platypus)
Lineage: Eukaryota; Metazoa; Chordata; Mammalia; Monotremata; Ornithorhynchidae
Exons: 3
Source: RefSeq, a predicted model, not a curated record
GAAACGUGAAGUAGUUGGGUGGUUGAUUGAGAGAGUGGACUGUGUUACUUCUCUGCUUUGGAUAUUCAGCAAGAAGGAUCAGCAUGUGGUGAUGUAUUUCUCUCUACCCAAGAUAUAGGGUAUUUCCAUCUUCUCAGUCAUAUAUUGAAGAGUCACCCUCAUGCAGUCAAAAAAUAGGAUGUUUUCAGUGUGGAACAUAUUGUCGGCUAUUCAGAGGACUUCGCAAGCACAUUUGCUCACCAAGCAACAUGGAUCAGCAGGAUCUGGAAGAUAAACGUAGCAUUGCCACCAUGUGAAAGGCUGAAUGGACAGUUAACUUCUAAAUUUCAAACCAGAGUUUUCAGCAUGAUCACUGUCUCAAAAGGUGGAUCCAAACCAUCAAGAAGGAGAAAUAGCAAGUUCCUGAUGAAUACAAAAACCCGUAAGGAGUUCCCUAAGAUCCCAGUAGCUACAAUGAACAUCGAACUCUAGCUCCAAGAACUGACCGAAAUGAACAGCGAAUGGGGGUAUCUCUGAGACAGACAAAGACACCUACACUACUGUGGUGGGAUGCCAAAGUUACAUACUAUGUGAAGAACAAGACACCAGGAAAAUGGGGAGAGAAGUCUCCAAAGAGAGAUGGGACUUACAAAUGGUAAGCAUAUCCCUGUAUUAAAGAACUAGACAUAGCCCCAUUUUUUUUUAUGAUAUACGUUCAGCACUUACUAUGUGCCAGGCACUGC